GACGAACGCUGGCGGCGUGCCUAAUACAUGCAAGUUGAGUGCUGAAGGUUGGUACUUGUACCAACUGGAUGAGCAGCGAACGGGUGAGUAACGCGUGGGGAAUCUGCCUUUGAGCGGGGGACAACAUUUGGAAACGAAUGCUAAUACCGCAUAAAAACUUUAAACACAAGUUUUAAGUUUGAAAGAUGCAAUUGCAUCACUCAAAGAUGAUCCCGCGUUGUAUUAGCUAGUUGGUGAGGUAAAGGCUCACCAAGGCGAUGAUACAUAGCCGACCUGAGAGGGUGAUCGGCCACAUUGGGACUGAGACACGGCCCAAACUCCUACGGGAGGCAGCAGUAGGGAAUCUUCGGCAAUGGACGAAAGUCUGACCGGGCAACGCCGCGUGAGUGAAGAAGGUUUUCGGAUCGUAAAACUCUGUUGGUAGAGAAGAACGUUGGUGAGAGUGGAAAGCUCAUCAAGUGACGGUAACUACCCAGAAAGGGACGGCUAACUACGUG
This 497-nucleotide ribosomal RNA is filed under the name uncultured bacterium. RNAcentral's name for it is "partial 16S ribosomal RNA". It matches the Rfam family "Bacterial small subunit ribosomal RNA", at positions 28 to 507 of the family's 1533-position model. The record is from RNAcentral.